Long non-coding RNA from Sparus aurata (gilthead seabream), 2145 nucleotides. NCBI's taxonomy places the organism in Eukaryota, Metazoa, Chordata, Actinopteri, Spariformes, Sparidae. The record is from Ensembl.
AUGUAUCUAAACAGGGUUUUGGAUGAGCUGAAUGCUAAGAUCCAAAAGGACCACAGAGAAAACUCCACCCUUCCUAAAAUAGCCAAGACCUCAAGACGGGAAAAGGAUGAAGGGGAUGACAAGAACCGAAGAGGCAAAGACAAGAAACAAUCAGAGGACAUGGAUGUGAAAGUCAACAAGGAAAAGGAGAAGAGAAACAAGGAGAGUGGAGAGGAAAAAAUACAGAAAUCAAAAGGCAAGCUACCUUUAAAGACCCCUAAGACCAUUGGGAGUCCCUUAGAAUCUUUGAGCGUUAAGCAAACCAAAACAUUAGGCACCAAGAGUAUCGAUAAUGCAUCAAAAACCAUUGUGGCUAUUAGAAGUAAACCGGGAAAAGCCAUUGGUACAGAGCUCAGAAAGGACCCUGAUAUUUGUAAACUUGCUGAAACCCCUACUUCAGAUUCAUUGGAGGCUUCCAAGAAUGCAACAGAUCAAGUAGCUAAACCUAAACAUGGGGAAGUUGCUUCUCCAGAGCCAAGGAAGUGCCAUUCGAAAAAUAUGGAUACAAAAGACAGAGAUUCAACUGGCUUGCGUUCUAGUUGUUCCAACAAAAAUGUGUCAAGUAGGACUGAGAAAGGUGUGAUGGAGAUCUGGAGGUCUAAAUCCGAGCCAAGUCAAGACUCUGGGAAGAGCCAGAUCAACUCAAACACAAAAGUUUCCAAAUUGUCUAAAAGCUCAACCACUGAUCAUCCGAAUGAGAGUCCAUCUCGAAAAGCUUCUUUGAAAUCAAUCAUUUAUCCUGCAGGCGCCAACUCAUCACGGAGUAUAGGUAAAAUAUCCUCUACAGAACACCCUGAAAGUGCUGCAACAGACAUUUACGCAACAGGGUUGGCACUAAAAGCGUCUCAUCCAUCGAGUAGUGACCACACAGAGGACGCCACUUCAACUACCCCUUCUGUUGCCAAGCAGUGCAAGACAAAUUCUACCUCAGAGCAUCAGAACAAUCAUUCAAACAUAGACACAGAGCCAAGAAGGACCUGUGAAUGUCCCCAAGUCUUACCCUCAAACCCCAAACCAUCUAAAACUACCUCAAACUUUGGCCAAAAAGUGACCACAACCAAAUCACCCUUGUCCACCAGCCCAUCAAAGACUCUUACCUCAAGUCUUUCAGAGCUCCCGUCCACAGUUUGUAAGGAGUCCAGUCCUGCCCACAGCACUACAACACUAUCUAAAGAAACCCUUCAAACUGGCUCAUCUUCACAUAUUAAACCCACAUAUAACACACGCGUACCCAACAUGCCUUCCAGGGACCUUCCAAUGGACCCAAUCAAAAAUCAUCAGGAUAGUUUAAAUACUUCAAACCAGGACAUCAAUGAGGAUCCUGGGUGCUUGAAGAUGAGUCUGGCAUCCAAAAUAGCUGCAAACCACCCUGGGAUAUCUAAGUCUUUUGAGCCCUGCAGCCUCCAUGGGCAGAGUGUUUCCAAGCACAAGAUCACCACAGAAUCCAGAACCUCAACCACCAUGCCUAUUGAAACCCCUAAAAUCAGCACACCAGUAGGGACAACUAUCCCGAAAACGUUGAAAGUCUCAAACAAAGAGAACAGAGAGGAUUUUGCGCUUUCUAUGUCCAUCAUUGCAACAACCAAAACUUUGGUAAAUCAAACCUCAAAGGUUUCUAAAAGCAAAAAUAUUGAGCAAAAGAACAACAGCAGUGAAGAUGAACCUAACAUUAAAUCCUCAAACCCCUCUCACUGCAAAUCUUUGAUCAAAGGACCAAAAGCAAGGCUUGGCUCUUUUACCACCACAACAAUGACUCAGAAAACAACAUUUUCUACAGAGACACGAAAGAAAACAGGGAACCCUGAAAGGAAUAACACAACAAAUAUACCGACCUCAUUCACUUCUACAGUGACUCCAGACCACAAGGCUUCAGCAAGAAGCUCUGUAUUUCACAGCAACACAGACAUUAACGAGUUUGAUUUAAGUCAACUCCAUUACUCUCCACCACCUCCUCCUCCUCCCCCUUCCUCGACUCCUCUACUCCUUCCUCCAUCUUCCACACCCCUUAUCCCGUCCUUCUCUGUCGUCAGUACUGACAGCCCAGUCUCCAGCGAUCAGCUUAACCCUGGGGCGAGCUUCCAUCCUGGGACCCUCAGCGUUUGGUAA